CCUGAUGCAGCGACGCCGCGUGAAGGAUGAAGGUCUUCGGAUUGUAAACUUCUUUUGUSGGGGACGAUAAUGACGGUACCCGAUGAAUAAGCCACGGCUAACUCCGUGCCAGCAGCCGCGGUAAUA
Molecule: ribosomal RNA, 126 nt
Filed under: uncultured bacterium
Lineage: Bacteria
Description: partial 16S ribosomal RNA
Rfam family: Bacterial small subunit ribosomal RNA
Source: RNAcentral